CCUUGUACACACCGCCCGUCACACCAUGGGAGUUGGGUCGACCCGAAGGCGCUGCGCCAACCCGGCAACGGGGGGCAAGCGACCACGGUCGGUUCAGCGACUGGGGUG
Molecule: ribosomal RNA, 108 nt
Filed under: uncultured bacterium
Lineage: Bacteria
Description: partial 16S ribosomal RNA
Rfam family: Bacterial small subunit ribosomal RNA
Source: RNAcentral